This 421-nucleotide ribosomal RNA is filed under the name uncultured bacterium. RNAcentral's name for it is "bacterial SSU rRNA". It matches the Rfam family "Bacterial small subunit ribosomal RNA", at positions 355 to 774 of the family's 1533-position model. The record is from RNAcentral.
UAAGGAAUAUUGGUCAAUGGACGCAAGUCUGAACCAGCCAUGCCGCGUGAAGGAUGAAGGUCCUCUGGAUUGUAAACUUCUUUUAUCUGGGACGAAAACGGGAUUUUUAUCUCAAUUGACGGUACCAGAGGAAUAAGCACCGGCUAACUCCGUGCCAGCAGCCGCGGUAAUACGGAGGGUGCGAGCGUUAUCCGGAUUUACUGGGUUUAAAGGGUGCGUAGGUGGGCUUAUAAGUCAGUGGUGAAAUCUCCGAGCUUAACUUGGAAACUGCCGUUGAUACUAUAGGUCUUGAAUUAUCUGGAGGUAAGCGGAAUAUGUCAUGUAGCGGUGAAAUGCUUAGAUAUGACAUAGAAAACCAAUUGCGAAGGCAGCUUACUACAUAUAAAUUGACGCUGAGGCACGAAAGCGUGGGGAUCAAACA